CCUACGGGUGGCUGCAGUUGGGAAUAUUGGACAAUGGGCGCAAGCCUGCCCCAGCAAUGCCGCGUGAAGGACGAAGGCUUUCGGGGUUUAAACUUCUUUGACAGGGGAAGAGCAGAAGACGGUACCCUGAAACCAAGCCACGGCUAACUACGUGCCAGCAGCCGCGGUAAUACGUAGGUGGCAAGCGUUGUACGGAUUUACUGGGUGUAAAGGGCGUGUAGCCGGGAAGGCAAGUCAGAUGUGAAAUCCGGAGGCUCAACCUCCGAAUUGGAUUUGAAACUGUGUUUCUUGAGUACUGGAGAGGCAGACGGAAUUCCUUGUGUAGCGGUGACAUGCGUAGAUAUAAGGAGGAACACCAGUGGCGAAGGCGGUCUGCUGGACAGCAACUGACGGUGAGGCGCGAAAGCGUGGGGAGCAAACAGGAUUAGAUACCCCGGUAGUC
RNAcentral lists this ribosomal RNA (442 nucleotides) under uncultured bacterium. RNAcentral's name for it is "partial 16S ribosomal RNA". It matches the Rfam family "Bacterial small subunit ribosomal RNA", at positions 338 to 795 of the family's 1533-position model. The record is from RNAcentral.